GCUCAAGCGCCCGCAGUUCUUCACCAUCCCUCGUCGGAUUGGCAGCAAUUUUCAGCGAGAGAUGAAAAGCCUCCGUCUCGCAUCUGUGUGAUUUUCCACUGGGGAAGAGAGCGAGCUGAACGUGCAAGUCGCCAAAAUGCAUUUAUCACUGGUGUUGCUCUGAUAAAUACCAUCCAUCAAUCGCGGUGCGCGCGGUGUGUGUGAAAAUUAAAUUUCGUGAAAAGAGCGAAUCUCGCGUGCGAAGCUUUUCCUCGUGUGUGAGUUGAGUGAGAGAGAGUGUGUGGCGAGGAAAAAGGGAGCGUGGUGGAAAUCUGCUUGCAUCUCAGGGCGCGUUCGUGAAGUUGAGUUCCACGGAGUCCCGGCGGACGGAUGAAAAUGGAGAAAAACCUGGAAAAGCGUGUCUACAUGCUGGUGCUGACAGGAGGACCGUGCGGAGGAAAAACCACGGGACAGGCGCGCCUGAGCACAUUUUUCGAGAAUCUGGGAUGGAAGGUGUUCCGAGUGCCUGAAGCCGCAUCAAUUUUGCUGAGUGGUGGUGUGAAGUUUUCCGAGUUGACUCGAGAUGAAGCCCUGCAAUUCCAGGAGAAUCUCGUGAAGACAAUGCUCCAGCUCGAGAACACAUACUAUGAACUGGCGAAGGGACACAUUCUGAAGCAGAAUGCUCGAGGAUGUCUCAUUAUAUGUGAUCGUGGCAUAAUGGAUGCGGGUGCAUAUAUACCAAAAGAGGAUUGGGAGAAGCUUCUCACGGCCAAUGCUUGGAACACGGUUGAAUUGCGGGACAAUCGCUAUAACCAAAUUGUUCACAUGGUGUCUGCUGCGAAUGGUGCUGAAGAUUUCUACAGUGUCGAGGGUCACAAUUGCCGAUCUGAAGAUGUGGAUCUGGCCCGUGAACUUGACUACAAGGCGGCCGCCGCGUGGGUUGGUCAUCCCUAUUUCGAUGUGAUUGACAAUUCAACGGACUUUGAGACGAAAAUAAAGCGUAUGAUCAGCAGUGUUUGCCAGAAGGUUGGCAUCGACACCGGCGAUCGUUUGUUGACCACGUCGAAGAAGCUGAAAUUUCACGUUCUUGGGCCUCUGCCACCGGAUUCGGCGUUCCCGGCGUUUCAGGACUUCGAGGUGGAGCAUCACUAUUUGCAGUCGACGAGCGGCCGCGUGCAGGCGCGGCUGAGGAAGCGCGGCCAGAAGGGACACUGGAGCUACAUUCACACCAUCAGGAAGCCGCAUCCCAAUGGCCAGUACGUGGAGGUGAAGACUCAGAUGACGGCCAGGGACUAUAACAACCUGCUGAACCAGGUCGAUGAUGCCCACUUCAACAUCAUGAAGACAAGACGGUGCUUUCUCGUGAACAAUCAGUACUUCCAGCUGGACAUCUACAAGGAGCCGUGUCACUCCAGAUGCGUUGGCUUGAUGCUCCUCGAGACGUACACGUCGCUCGAGGGCAAGGCACUUGAGGAUUGCCUGCCGAAAUUCCUCAACAUCAACAAGGAAGUGACCGGCGAUCCCAAUUACUCCAUGUUCAAUUUGUCCCUGCGCGAAGAGUGGGAUAGGACGCAGAAAUUCUGUCGCUCCUUGCAUGGUAAAAAGAACAUGAAUGAUGUGUGCAGUGCAAAUGCCCGUGAAAAUGAUGAUGCAUGCAAUGAAUGUCAGCAUCAAGGCAAAUAACUUCCAAAAAAAGAAAGAAAAACCAAUGCAUUGUUCAAAAAAAAAAACACUGUCCCAAAGAAGAUGAUGGCGAAGUACAUAAGAAAAUUAAUGGCUGUUCUAAUCCAUACAUGAAUGGAAAUAAGACUGGGGCCAUUUAACAUUUGAGGAAGAAGAGUUUGAAAUAUUAUUUGAUUUUCUCCAAACAUUAACUAUAAAUUUUUAGUUCAAUCUUUUUAGCACUUAUUAUUUAAUCAAAUUGAUUUUUUACUGUUGUUUUUGUGCAUAAAUUGCGCUCGAGCAAUGGUCAAAGGUCAACUGCUUCUUACCUCAUUUCACAACAUAUAUUGUUUUUAAGGAUAAAUUGAAAAGAUUACUAUGAUAAAAAAUGCGGAGAAUGAAUUUUAUUGAAAUUCUCGAAUUGAUUUGAAAUGGAUUAAAAUGAAAAAAUAGUUUUACGCUGCAAAAUGAGUGAUUCAAGUACAUUUUGUGCCCCAAAAUAGUGUUAAUGUUACUGACGAGUUGCCACCAAAUUGAGUACUUACAACAUGUAUGAUUUUAUUCACUAUAAAUAAAAAAAUGAAGGAUGAAAUACAAGAAAA
Molecule: RNA transcript, 2243 nt
Organism: Phlebotomus argentipes
Lineage: Eukaryota; Metazoa; Arthropoda; Insecta; Diptera; Psychodidae
Gene: Ttd14
Gene name: TRPL translocation defect protein 14
Exons: 10
Source: RefSeq, a predicted model, not a curated record